RNAcentral lists this ribosomal RNA (447 nucleotides) under Salmonella enterica subsp. enterica serovar Muenchen. RNAcentral describes it as "partial 23S ribosomal RNA". It matches the Rfam family "Bacterial large subunit ribosomal RNA", at positions 161 to 644 of the family's 2925-position model. The record is from RNAcentral. Lineage: Bacteria; Pseudomonadati; Pseudomonadota; Gammaproteobacteria; Enterobacterales; Enterobacteriaceae. RNAcentral also lists the same sequence under 10 other names.
AAUCCAUAGGUUAAUGAGGCGAACCGGGGGAACUGAAACAUCUAAGUACCCCGAGGAAAAGAAAUCAACCGAGAUUCCCCCAGUAGCGGCGAGCGAACGGGGAGGAGCCCAGAGCCUGAAUCAGCAUGUGUGUUAGUGGAAGCGUCUGGAAAGGCGCGCGAUACAGGGUGACAGCCCCGUACACAAAAGCGCAUGUGCUGUGAGCUCGAUGAGUAGGGCGGGACACGUGGUAUCCUGUCUGAAUAUGGGGGGACCAUCCUCCAAGGCUAAAUACUCCUGACUGACCGAUAGUGAACCAGUACCGUGAGGGAAAGGCGAAAAGAACCCCGGCGAGGGGAGUGAAAAAGAACCUGAAACCGUGUACGUACAAGCAGUGGGAGCACAGGUUUACCUGUGUGACUGCGUACCUUUUGUAUAAUGGGUCAGCGACUUAUAUUCUGUAGCAAG